RNAcentral lists this ribosomal RNA (423 nucleotides) under uncultured archaeon. RNAcentral's name for it is "partial 16S ribosomal RNA". It matches the Rfam family "Archaeal small subunit ribosomal RNA", at positions 323 to 746 of the family's 1478-position model. The record is from RNAcentral.
CGGGAGGCAGCAGCAGUUAGGUAUAUUUUGCAAUGCACGAAAGUGUGACAAAGCGAGCCAGAGUGCUUUUCUAUUUGAAAAGCUUUUGCCAAAUCUAAAAAUUUUGGCGAAUAAGGACUGGGUAAGACGAGUGCCAGCCGCCGCGGUAAUACUCGCGGUCCAAGUCGCAGCCAUUUUUAUUGGGUCUAAAACAUCCGUAGCUUGCUGAGAUAAGUUUCUUGUGAAAUCUUAUAUCUUAAGUAUAGGGCGCGCAGGAAGUACUGUCUAGCUAGAGACUGGAAGACAUAAGGAGUGCGAUUAAAGUAGUAGUAAAAUACAUUAAUCUUAAUCGGACUAACAAGAGCGAAGGCACCUUAUGAGGACAGUUCUGACAGUGAGGGAUGAAGGCUAGGGGCGCGAAAAGGAUUAGAUACCCUAGUAGUC